This 263-nucleotide unclassified non-coding RNA is filed under the name plant metagenome. RNAcentral describes it as "partial contains small subunit ribosomal RNA, internal transcribed spacer 1, and 5.8S ribosomal RNA". The record is from RNAcentral.
UUUCCGUAGGUGAACCUGCGGAAGGAUCAUUAUUGUAUAACCGAGGGUCGAGGGCUGUCACUGAUCCGAAAGGUCGUGCACGCCCGAGUGCCCUCACACACAUCUAUCUCACCCCUAUGUGCACCACCGCGUGGGUCCCCCUUUGGCUUGUUCGGAGGGGGGCUUACGUUUUCACACAAACUUUGUAUGCAGUGUAGAAUGUAUUUUUUGUUUUUGCGAUCACGCAAUCAAUACAACUUUCAACAACGGAUCUCUUGGCUCUC